GACGAACGCUGGCGGCGUGCUUAACACAUGCAAGUCGAACGGAAAGGCCCUGCUUUUGUGGGGUGCUCGAGUGGCGAACGGGUGAGUAACACGUGUGUAACCUGCCCUUGUCUUUGGGAUAACUUCAGGAAACUGGGGCUAAUACCGGAUAGGAGCUCCUGCUGCAUGGUGGGGGUUGGAAAGUUUCGGCGGUUGGGGAUGGACUCGCGGCUUAUCAGCUUGUUGGUGGGGUAGUGGCUUACCAAGGCUUUGACGGGUAGCCGGCCUGAGAGGGUGACCGGCCACAUUGGGACUGAGAGACGGCGCAGACUCCUACGGGAGGCAGCAGUGGGGAAUAUGGCGCAGUGGGCGGGAGCCUGAGGCAGCAACGCCGCGUGCGGGAUGACGGCCUUCGGGUUGUAAACCGCUUUCGCCUGUGACGAAGCGUGAGUGACGGUAAUGGGUAAAGAAGCACCGGCUAACUACGUG
Molecule: ribosomal RNA, 468 nt
Filed under: uncultured bacterium
Lineage: Bacteria
Description: partial 16S ribosomal RNA
Rfam family: Bacterial small subunit ribosomal RNA
Source: RNAcentral